This 253-nucleotide ribosomal RNA is filed under the name uncultured bacterium. Its description in RNAcentral is "partial 16S ribosomal RNA". It matches the Rfam family "Bacterial small subunit ribosomal RNA", at positions 524 to 776 of the family's 1533-position model. The record is from RNAcentral.
UACGUAGGUGGCAAGCGUUGUCCGGAUUUAUUGGGCGUAAAGCGCGCGCAGGCGGUUCGCCGCGUCCGAGGUGAAAUCUCCCGGCUCAACUGGGAGGGGUCUUCGGAUACGGGCGGACUUGAGGAGAGCAGAGGUGAGCGGAAUUCUGGGUGUAGUGGUGAAAUGCGUAGAUAUCCAGAGGAACACAAGUGGCGGAGGCGGCUCACUGGGCUCCACCUGACGCUGAGGCGCGAAAGCGUGGGGAGCGAACCGG